CUCAUUUGCACCCAAAAUUGGUUAAGGACCAAACUUGUCGACAUUCGGGAGUUGGAAGAAUACGUACAAUCGAUGGACCUUGAAGAUGAUCAUCUAGCUUCAUUUUCAACAGAGGAUACUGUGAGUCUCUCUUCCCAUUGAUGCU
Juglans microcarpa x Juglans regia is the source of this 145-nucleotide long non-coding RNA. RefSeq lists it as uncharacterized. The transcript has 2 exons. NCBI's taxonomy places the organism in Eukaryota, Viridiplantae, Streptophyta, Magnoliopsida, Fagales, Juglandaceae. The record is from RefSeq and is a predicted model, not a curated record.